UACGAAGGGGGCUAGCGUUGCUCGGAAUUACUGGGCGUAAAGCGCACGUAGGCGGCUUUCUAAGUCGGGGGUGAAAUCCUGGAGCUCAACUCCAGAACUGCCUUCGAUACUGGAAGACUCGAGUCCGGGAGAGGUGAGUGGAACUGCGAGUGUAGAGGUGAAAUUCGUAGAUAUUCGCAAGAACACCAGUGGCGAAGGCGGCUCACUGGCCCGGUUCUGACGCUGAGGUGCGAAAGCGUGGGGAGCAAACAGG
This 253-nucleotide ribosomal RNA is filed under the name uncultured bacterium. RNAcentral's name for it is "partial 16S ribosomal RNA". It matches the Rfam family "Bacterial small subunit ribosomal RNA", at positions 524 to 776 of the family's 1533-position model. The record is from RNAcentral.